GGUCCUAGCCAGCCACCAGUGCUUGCCUGUUGAGACGGCCACAAAGGCACGUUCUCUUGUCAGUCUGGCAAGCGACGCCGCCCCAGCUCCUCUUCCUGCCAGACGACAGAAGAAUGGCUAGUACCUCCUGAUCGAGAUGCGACCAAGCUCUCGGGUGAGGAAGGCCAGUCCCCUGCAUCCCGACUGCACCAGCCCAGAUGCCGGGCCCCAGAGGACAGCACCACCAAGAUCCCAUCAAGCCUGUACCCGCAGCAUCAGGAACUUUUGAAUGAAAAUGUGUUUGGGCUGCUGGAGUCAUAUUUCUUCACCUGGUCAACUAAGUAUCCAGUGCUACAGUAGUUUGAGAGGUGUUAUAUAUAAAGAAUAGCCCAGCCUAAUUCUAA
This is a long non-coding RNA of Myotis davidii, 383 nucleotides long. RefSeq lists it as uncharacterized. The transcript has 2 exons. Lineage: Eukaryota; Metazoa; Chordata; Mammalia; Chiroptera; Vespertilionidae. The record is from RefSeq and is a predicted model, not a curated record.